GAUGAACGCUGGCGGCGUGCCUAAUACAUGCAAGUCGAGCGAACGGACGAGAAGCUUGCUUCUCUGAUGUUAGCGGCGGGCGGGUGAGUAACACGUGGAUAACCUACCUAUAAGACUGGGAUAACUUCGGGAAACCGGAGCUAAUACCGGAUAAUAUUUUGAACCGCAUGGUUCAAAAGUGAAAGACGGUCUUGCUGUCACUUAUAGAUGGAUCCGCGCUGCAUUAGCUAGUUGGUAAGGUAACGGCUUACCAAGGCAACGAUGCAUAGCCGACCUGAGAGGGGGAUCGGCCACACGGGAACGGAGACACGGUCAAGACUCCUACGGGAGGCAGCAGUAGGGAAUCGUACGCAAUGGGCGAAAGCCUGACGGAGCAACGCCGCGUGAGUGAUGAAGGUCUUCGGAUCGUAAAACUCUGUUAUGAGGGAAGAACAGAUGUGUAAGGAACUGUGCACAUCGUGACGGUACCUAAUCAGAAAGCCACGGCUAACUACGUG
Molecule: ribosomal RNA, 497 nt
Filed under: uncultured bacterium
Lineage: Bacteria
Description: partial 16S ribosomal RNA
Rfam family: Bacterial small subunit ribosomal RNA
Source: RNAcentral